CCUACGGGAGGCAGCAGUGGGGGAUAUUGCACAAUGGGGGGAACCCUGAUGCAGCGACGCCGCGUGGGUGAAGAAGCGCCUCGGCGCGUAAAGCCCUGUCAGAAGGGAAGAAAAUGACGGUACCUGAAGAAGAAGCCCCGGCUAACUACGGGCCAGCAGCCGCGGUAAUACGUAGGGGGCAGGCGGUAUACGGAUUUACUGGGUGUAACGGGGGCGCAGACGGCGAUGCAAGCAAGGAGUGAAAGCCCGGGGCCCAACCCCGGGACGGCUCUUGGAACUGCGUGGCUUGAGUGCAGGAGGGGCAGGCGGAAUUCCUGGUGUAGCGGUGAAAUGCGUAGAUAUCAGGAGGAACACCGGUGGCGAAGGCGGCCUGCUGGACUGCAACUGACGUUGAGGCACGAAAGCGUGGGGAGCAAACAGGAUUAGAUACCCGAGUAGUC
Molecule: ribosomal RNA, 440 nt
Filed under: uncultured bacterium
Lineage: Bacteria
Description: partial 16S ribosomal RNA
Rfam family: Bacterial small subunit ribosomal RNA
Source: RNAcentral